RNAcentral lists this ribosomal RNA (608 nucleotides) under uncultured bacterium. RNAcentral's name for it is "bacterial SSU rRNA". It matches the Rfam family "Bacterial small subunit ribosomal RNA", at positions 56 to 710 of the family's 1533-position model. The record is from RNAcentral.
UGCAAGUCGAGCGGGGUAGCAAUACCUAGCGGCAGACGGGUGCGUAACAUGUGGGAAUCUGCCUUUUGGUUCGGAACAACAUGGGGAAACCUGUGCUAAUACCGGAUAAGUCCUAACGGAGAAAGUUUUAAUGCCAAAAGAUGAGCCCGCAUUUGAUUAGCUUGUUGGUGAGGUAAAAGCUCACCAAGGCUAUAAUCAAUAGCUGAUUUGAGAGGAUGAUCAGCCACACUGGGACUGAGAUACGGCCCAGACUCCUACGGGAGGCAGCAGUGGGGAAUCUUGCACAAUGGGCGAAAGCCUGAUGCAGCGAUGCCGCGUGAGUGAAGAAGGCCUUUGGGUUGUAAAGCUCUUUUGUCGGGAGAGAUAAUGACUGUACCCGAAGAAUAAGGUCCGGCUAACUUCGUGCCAGCAGCCGCGGUAAUACGAAGGGACCUAGCGUAGUUCGGAAUUACUGGGCGUAAAGAGUAUGUAGGCGGCUAGAUAAGUUAAUUGUGGAAGCCCAAAGCUUAACUUUGGAACUGCAAUUAAAACUAUUUAGCUGGAGUAUGAUAGAGGAAAGCGGAAUACAUAGUGUAGAGGUGAAAUUCGUAGAUAUUAUGUAGAACACC